Molecule: ribosomal RNA, 81 nt
Filed under: Echinops telfairi (small Madagascar hedgehog)
Lineage: Eukaryota; Metazoa; Chordata; Mammalia; Afrosoricida; Tenrecidae
Source: RNAcentral
GUCUGUGGUGAUAACACCUUCGGUGCCCGGUCACACCUGAUCUCAGAAGCUCAGCAAGAUCGGGCCUGGUAACCGCUGAAG